Molecule: long non-coding RNA, 280 nt
Filed under: Lotus japonicus
Lineage: Eukaryota; Viridiplantae; Streptophyta; Magnoliopsida; Fabales; Fabaceae
Description: long non-coding RNA (LJAP_LNC002019)
Source: RNAcentral
UUGCAGGUGCGAGGGGAGGACGGAUAGAGUUGAUAGACUUGGUCGUUCUGGAUUCUGAUUCAGACGACGAUCAUGCUGACACAUAGUUUUGGGUGUUAAUAUGAGCUCCUCGAGUUGGGAUUAGUGUAGGAGUAGAGUUUUUAGCUCUGACAGUCUUGCUUCAUUUGUUACUUAGGGGACAGGGUAGAUCCGCCUAUAGCUUUUUGUGUGGUUUCCUUACGGGAAUCACAGAGAGUUGGUUGGACUUAGGAGGUCUUAUUUUCAGGCCAUUGGGUCAGCU